ACGCGCCGCCGCCUGGAGCCCGGGAGCUGCGCACCGCGUGCGAGCGCGGCCGGGACCGACGGGUGACGCGGCGGGAGGAGACGCGGCGGGAGGAGGCGAAGCUGGCGACGCCAAAGGGAGCCCAGAGCUACGCCCAGGGGUGAGGCGAGGGCCGCCUGCGCCGCUGGAUGGAGAGGGUAGCAGAGCGCGCGGCAAGGAGGCCGGGUCCGGAGGUGCCCACGUGCACGAACCCGAGUGAAACUUUCCGAAAUUCACUAUCCGAGUCUAGGCGCCGACACAGAAGGUGGAGCAGGGAGGCGUCGGCUGUGCCCGCCCCUGCGCCGCAGAAACGCCCCCUCGGCUACGGGUUUGGGAAGACUGGGAGACAGCUGCCUCGUGCUCUAGCAGCCCGCCCCCUGGGCGCCUUUCCCUUCUCAGGACCAAACGACGGUGCCAUGGGAGGCUCUUCAACCUGUGAGCCAAACAUUUGACCUUGGACGACAGCAAAGUUUAGCCACAGAUUAUCCUUGUAGAGCUGCAAGACCUCAAGAAAGCCGGGUAACUCGAGAGUAUGACCCAGAUGAAUUCGGGAGAUGGAUGAAUGCUGUCGUCGAUGGGGGCGGGCUUUAGGCAUCUCACAUGUUGCAUGCUACGGUGGACCUCUGAGCUUUUUGCUGCCCCCUUAGAUUGGGAAAGGAAUAUAAGAGGAAAGAGAGACUGCCUGAUGAUUUCUGUCGUCAAGCCCUAAAGCCUAACAGAUAACAGUGGCAAACGACACGUGGGUUCCAGAAUACCAGUGAUGUUCAUGUGCAUUUCUGAGUGCGUA
Molecule: long non-coding RNA, 805 nt
Filed under: Homo sapiens (human)
Lineage: Eukaryota; Metazoa; Chordata; Mammalia; Primates; Hominidae
Description: non-protein coding lnc-CLDN10-8:5
Source: RNAcentral